Molecule: long non-coding RNA, 1064 nt
Filed under: Malus domestica (apple)
Lineage: Eukaryota; Viridiplantae; Streptophyta; Magnoliopsida; Rosales; Rosaceae
Description: long non-coding RNA (MDOM_LNC004290)
Source: RNAcentral
UUUGGUUAGAAUUUCAACAUAAAUCCUAAUUUGGGCUAUUUUUCCAAAUUUCUCAGUUUUCCCCUCCUUCAAACCCUUAGGGUGCGUUUGUUGCAUUGGACUAACUCGGACUGGACUAACUUCAAGGACUAAGCUGGACUGGCUUGGCUUGGACUAACCAGGAUAAAAAUAGUUAAGUGUUUGGUGCAGUCCCGGACUAGAUCUCGGACUAACAUAUUUUAGAUUCAAUAUUGAUGUCUUUUUCCAUUUUUCAAUGGAACUAAACUUUGAUAAUCUGCAUCUAUCUAUCCAAUUACUUGUCGUCUUCCUCAACACCUACCAUUUCUCUCCCUUUUUACAGAAAAACACCAGCCACGCGGCCUCCGAGACAGGAAUAUCUAAUUCUGGUUCCCUUUUGCUGAUUGGGAACGAUGUACAAUAGAAAGAACAGAGGAGGGGAAACUUGAAAUUUGGGUGGAGAUGAUGAGGGACGGAGAUGCGUGGCCAUUUGAUUUCUAGGAGACCCUUUUUGUGAUCAGCGGUGAGAUGGCGAUGCUCGGAGGGAACUGUUCUGAUCAAACCACUGUCAUCUUCCCAGGCUCCAGAUCCGACCGACCUAGACUCUUCUCCGAGCGGGAGUCUGGCGAUUUGAGACCCGUUGGGGGAGUUGGCGUGUUGGGUCGAUGAUCCAAAGCGAAGCAGAGAGUCUGCGAAGUGAUGCAGACGAGCGAAGCGGAGGAACAAAGCAGGUCUUAGCUAGUCCCAUGGUUGUCGAGGACUCUCGCUAAGAACCUACAGUGAAGGCUUUAGUCCGUGCGAAUCCCACUUAAUCUCAUUAACGUGAGUCCGCGUGAUACCAAACACUGGACUGGACUAAGAGUUAGUCCAGUCUAGUCCACUUAGUCCAGUCUAGUCCAAUGAAACUUAGUGAAGGCAAACAAACGGGGCCUUAACCCUCUGCAAUCCCUUCCUUUCCCUCGAGUCCCUUCCAAUUUUUCACACAAUGAAACGCUCAGCUGAGGCCGUUCCCAUCGCCGCCUCCUCCGCCACCGCCUCCUCCUCGCUGCCGCCCAAGAAACCCGUUU